Molecule: long non-coding RNA, 983 nt
Organism: Bactrocera dorsalis (oriental fruit fly)
Lineage: Eukaryota; Metazoa; Arthropoda; Insecta; Diptera; Tephritidae
Exons: 3
Source: RefSeq, a predicted model, not a curated record
GGCUAGAAAAAAGUUAUUUAAGAAAGAAAAUACAAAUAAAUCCCAUUUAAAUUUACGUCAUUUAAUGAUUAAAAAUUCAAUUCGGAGGAGAUUUGGCAAACAAGUUCGUGAAAGUAACCGCCGUCUGGGUGACGCCAAAAUUCCCAACUGGCGAUGGCGCGCAAAAAUUAAAACAAAAAAUAACAACAAACCAAACCUAAAACACAAUAAAAAAUGACAAAAAAUUCAAAUUUAUUGAAAUCAAAAAGUUAAAGCCAGCGAAGAAGAAGAAGCGUCACACAGCCCCACACACACACUAACACAUAUACAAAAAGUGGGCAAAAACGUUUGUAGAUUGAUCGUUGGGUAAAAAAUAUGUACCAAACUAGUUAGUUACCGGCUAUUGGCCUCUUUCGCCGCGUUCAGGGUCGCCGGCAGCGUUGGGGCAAACCCAGUCCAUCUAGCACGCCGCGCAGCAGCACAAAACAUUUCAAAACAACACAGCGCUAACAACGGUCCGAGAAGUAACGGCGUAUCGGUGUGGCGUAAAAAUUUUAACUUUUGUAAAAAAAAAUUUAAAUGUAAUUAAAAAUUUAUCAAAAAAAUAAAUUUGACGAAUAUUUAUUUUGCUUGCAUGCAAUGAGUGCUGCAAAUUUCUCCAUACGAAUAAAUUUGGGCACUUACCUGGCCGUUGGUGAAAAUGCAGCUAAGUUUUUGCUCCAAAUUAUUUCUCGGGAAUUCCGUGGUUAUAAUGGAAAUCUUAAGACGUUUAAUUUCUGCUAACUGCUCGUUUUUGCACUUAUUCAAAGUGCUAACAACACUAUUCAGCAUUUGUCUAAAAAGGAUAAGAAAUACACAUACUUAUUAUUUUCUCGUCUUUCUCAUCAAUGACCUCCUCUCCUGCAGUUUGAGGUGCCUCUCUAACCUCGUCUUCUUGAAUUACUUCAACAGAGGCGGUAUUCUUCAAGAUUGUUGUCAGCAUCUCUUUUUUGGAACGAGACUCC